UUGGUUAAGUUAGAAAGGGCGCACGGUGGAUGCCUUGGCACUAGGAGCCGAAGAAGGACGGGACUAACACCGAUAUGCUUUGGGGAGCUGUACGUAAGCGUUGAUCCAGAGAUUUCCGAAUGGGGGAACCCACUAUCUUUAGUCGGAUAGUAUCCUUACGUGAAUACAUAGCGUGAGGAAGGCAGACCCAGGGAACUGAAACAUCUAAGUACCUGGAGGAAGAGAAAGAAAAAUCGAUUUCCUGAGUAGCGGCGAGCGAAACGGAAAGAGCCCAAACCAAGAAGCUUGCUUCUUGGGGUUGUAGGACACUCUAUACGGAGUUACAAAAGAAAGUUAUAAAUGAAGCGGUCUGGAAAGGCCCGCCAAAGACGGUAACAGCCCGGUAGUUGAAAUGGCUUUCCCUCCAGAGUGGAUCCUGAGUACGGCGGAACACGUGAAAUUCCGUCGGAAUCCGGGAGGACCAUCUCCCAAGGCUAAAUACUCCCUAGUGACCGAUAGUGAACCAGUACCGUGAGGGAAAGGUGAAAAGCACCCCGGAAGGGGAGUGAAACAGUUCCUGAAACCGUGUGCCUACAAGUAGUUAGAGCCCGUUAAUGGGUGAUAGCGUGCCUUUUGUAGAAUGAACCGGCGAGUUACGAUUUGUUGCAAGGUUAAGCGGAAAAAGCGGAGCCGUAGCGAAAGCGAGUCUGAAUAGGGCGCAUAAGUAACAGGUCGUAGACCCGAAACCAGGUGAUCUACCCAUGUCCAGGAUGAAGGUAAGGUAAUACUUACUGGAGGUCCGAACCCACGCACGUUGAAAAGUGCGGGGAUGAGGUGUGGGUAGCGGAGAAAUUCCAAUCGAACUUGGAGAUAGCUGGUUCUCUCCGAAAUAGCUUUAGGGCUAGCCUCGAGGUAAAGAGUCAUGGAGGUAGAGCACUGUUUGGACUAGGGGCCCUUCUCGGGU
RNAcentral lists this ribosomal RNA (943 nucleotides) under Listeria monocytogenes. RNAcentral describes it as "partial 23S ribosomal RNA". It matches the Rfam family "Bacterial large subunit ribosomal RNA", at positions 1 to 936 of the family's 2925-position model. Lineage: Bacteria; Bacillati; Bacillota; Bacilli; Caryophanales; Listeriaceae. The record is from RNAcentral.